ACACCCGCCCUCGGGCCCCCUCCGGCCCGGCCGGCCGCCCCCACAACCACAGCAGCGCCGCGCACAGCGCCAGUCCCGCCGCCACCAGCGAUGGAUGUUCCUCUCAUAAUACAGCUGUGGCAGUCGGAGUACUGGGGGGAUUCCUCUACUACUACUACUGAAAAUGCCAAUAUGUUACAGAUGAUCAACUUGGAACUUCCCAUACACAAAGCUAUGAUUGGUUAGUCCUGAAGCAAUACCAAGUCCAGUUUUAGCAUUCAAUAGUAGCCUUUUCAAUCAAAAUCUACCCUUGCAACACAUAGAGCAACCCCACUCUGGUAGCCAAGUUGUAAUCACACUGACACUGACUAGUGCUAUUUUGGCAGCACAAUGGAGAUUUCAUUGGCAGGUUUUCAAAACUGUGCCAGUGGUUAUUACAGUGACAAGAGUUCCUAAUGUACUCUUCUUCCUGAGCUACCAUUACAACUGAACACACAGGGCACAAUUCUUCUCAUAACUCUACUGACUUUGAAUGCAUCAUCUUCAACUUCAGUGGAGUUGGAUGAAUUUGUUUAUCCUAGGCAGCUCUCACCUUAUUAUCUAAGGGCCCCAAUCCUGCACCCAUAAAAUUAUGAUGAUGUUGGAAUAUCUUCAUGGACCAGACGAGAUCAUCAUUCAGACCUAUUUUGCAGACUGGUUUGACAUGCUGCCUAUGCUCUGAAUAAGAUACAUCACAGAAUGCACAGAACAGAUCAUGUUUCUUGGAGAAGGACCUGGGUGAAGAAAACCACUGUGCAGACCCCAGUGCUGUGCAAUCUAUAAGUUACUAUUCUGUUACCCAAUGGCUGAAUCUUAAGAUUCUUUUCUUUGUUAUUUUACUAUCAUUGUAACCAAAGAUGUUCGAUAUUGUGCUACCCUUGGAAGUAAUUCCUGUAUUUUCUGCCACUGAGUAUAUGGUAACAAUGAAAUUUCUGUUACCUUGACCUGCAGAUCACAAGUAACUAUAGGUGUGGGCAACCUGGCUGAAUGAGAUAAUAAAGUCCUGAAUGUUUACUCAAAACUCUCACCCAAAUGAAACCUUAUUGACUUUUUUCAGUUAGGGAAAAGUCAGAUAAAGAAACAAAUUUAUUCAGGGCAAUGCCCUGUUUCCCUCCCCAAGCACUUGCUCACACAGAACCAUGGUGAGGCCUCUUCUUUUGCAAUCUACUUUCAUUCCCAUUCAUAAUAUCCUACAGUUACUUUCUUAUGAUAUUUACACUACCUUAACAAUAAGGUAAAUUGCUUCUUGCAUUUGUUUCCUUGUCUGGAUUAUAACUAUGUUGUGUCACAUGGCUGAUUAAAUGAGCGAUUGGCUCCUCUGAGCUACCAGACAGUAAUUUAGCACCACUAGUUCUGUACAACUGUACCUUCAGCAGUCUGUUAAAUUACUAACAUUUUACUUGCUUUGUAGAAGUAGCAUUCUAUGUUAAUAAACAUGGAUUUGAUUUGCA
This is a long non-coding RNA of Malaclemys terrapin pileata, 1469 nucleotides long. RefSeq lists it as uncharacterized. The record is from RefSeq and is a predicted model, not a curated record. The transcript is spliced from 2 exons. NCBI's taxonomy places the organism in Eukaryota, Metazoa, Chordata, Testudines, Emydidae.